AGUGAACGCUGGCGGUAGGCCUAACACAUGCAAGUCGAACGGCAGCACAGUAAGAGCUUGCUCUUACGGGUGGCGGGUGGCGGACGGGUGAGGAAUACAUCGGAAUCUACUUUUUCGUGGGGGAUAACGUAGGGAAACUUACGCUAAUACCGCAUACGACCUACGGGUGAAAGCAGGGGAUCUUCGGACCUUGCGCGAUUGAAUGAGCCGAUGUCGGAUUAGCUAGUUGGCGGGGUAAAGGCCCACCAAGGCGACGAUCCGUAGCUGGUCUGAGAGGAUGAUCAGCCACACUGGAACUGAGACACGGUCCAGACUCCUACGGGAGGCAGCAGUGGGGAAUAUUGGACAAUGGGCGCAAGCCUGAUCCAGCCAUACCGCGUGGGUGAAGAAGGCCUUCGGGUUGUAAAGCCCUUUUGUUGGGAAAGAAGAGCAGCAGGUUAAUACCCCGCUGUUCUGACGGUACCCAAAGAAUAAGCACCGGCUAACUUCGUG
Molecule: ribosomal RNA, 492 nt
Filed under: uncultured bacterium
Lineage: Bacteria
Description: partial 16S ribosomal RNA
Rfam family: Bacterial small subunit ribosomal RNA
Source: RNAcentral